Molecule: ribosomal RNA, 469 nt
Filed under: uncultured Bradyrhizobium sp.
Lineage: Bacteria; Pseudomonadati; Pseudomonadota; Alphaproteobacteria; Hyphomicrobiales; Nitrobacteraceae
Description: bacterial SSU rRNA
Rfam family: Bacterial small subunit ribosomal RNA
Source: RNAcentral
GAGUUUGAUCCUGGCUCAGAGCGAACGCUGGCGGCAGGCUUAACACAUGCAAGUCGAGCGGGCGUAGCAAUACGUCAGCGGCAGACGGGUGAGUAACGCGUGGGAACGUACCUUUUGGUUCGGAACAACACAGGGAAACUUGUGCUAAUACCGGAUAAGCCCUUACGGGGAAAGAUUUAUCGCCGAAAGAUCGGCCCGCGUCUGAUUAGCUAGUUGGUGAGGUAAUGGCUCACCAAGGCGACGAUCAGUAGCUGGUCUGAGAGGAUGAUCAGCCACAUUGGGACUGAGACACGGCCCAAACUCCUACGGGAGGCAGCAGUGGGGAAUAUUGGACAAUGGGGGCAACCCUGAUCCAGCCAUGCCGCGUGAGUGAUGAAGGCCCUAGGGUUGUAAAGCUCUUUUGUGCGGGAAGAUAAUGACGGUACCGCAAGAAUAAGCCCCGGCUAACUUCGUGCCAGCAGCCGCGGUA